RNAcentral lists this ribosomal RNA (465 nucleotides) under uncultured bacterium. RNAcentral describes it as "partial 16S ribosomal RNA". It matches the Rfam family "Bacterial small subunit ribosomal RNA", at positions 338 to 795 of the family's 1533-position model. The record is from RNAcentral.
CCUACGGGAGGCAGCAGUGGGGAAUAUUGCGCAAUGGGCGAAAGCCUGACGCAGCGACGCCGCGUGAGGGAUGAAGGUCUUCGGAUCGUAAACCUCUGUCAGCAGGGAAGAACGGUCACUGUGCUAAUCAGCAGUGAAUUGACGGUACCUGCAAAGGAAGCACCGUCUAACUCCGUGCCAGCAGCCGAGGUAAUACGGAGGGUGCGAGCGUUAAGCGGAAUUACUGGGCGUAAAGCGCUCGUAGGCGGUAUGUCAAGUCAAGGGUGAAAUCCCCGCGCUCAACGUGGGAACUGCCUUUGAAACUGGCAAACUGGAGUGUGUGAGAGGAUAGUGGAAUUCCAGGUGUAGGAGUGAAAUCCGUAGAUAUCUGGAGGAACAUCAGUGGCGAAGGCGACUAGCUGGAACAUAACUGACGCUGAGGAGCGAAAGCGUGGGUAGCAAACAGGAUUAGAUACCCCAGUAGUC